Long non-coding RNA from Cyprinus carpio carpio, 1842 nucleotides. The record is from Ensembl. NCBI's taxonomy places the organism in Eukaryota, Metazoa, Chordata, Actinopteri, Cypriniformes, Cyprinidae.
ACAAGAUGGACUUUUAAUAAAAUUUGGACUGUCUACACAGUAGAAACACAAAAACAUUUUAGAAUUAGUGCUAGUUGAAAAAAAGAAAAAGGGCUGCAGGGUUCCUUUUUGUCAAAAAUGUUAACAUCCAUAAUGCACUUUUGAUAAUGACGUUACCCCUCUGUUGAUCUGACUGUCUAUGGGCUGAAAUACAAAAAUGUGGAAGUUUACAAAAAAAAAAGCUCUGGAGCUGUUGAUAAAGCAAAAUUUUGUUUUGCUGAAAAUAAAAUGGGAAGAUUUGGGUGCAGGUUACAUUAAUUUUUACUAACAACACUGAAACAAUACAAAGCAUUUUGUAUAUUUGAUGUUAUUUUUGAUGUUUUUCUGGAAAUAUCUUGCGUGUAUGAUCACAUGUUGAGUAAUAUUAGGUGUUACGGGGCAAACGAGAUGUGAGACAUGCAGAUCCAUUUGCAAGCUUUAUUUAGAAGAUGUGGACAAAAACAGGUGGGGGUCAGACAAUGGCAAACAGGUAUAUUGAGGGCAAGACAUAAGAGUAGUCCAGUGAGCGGGCGAGGUCAAUCUCCGGUGAACAAUGUCCAAACAGGGUAAUCCAAAGGGUAAAUCUGAAACACAGGCGAGGGGUAAAUGGUAUCUGAACAGGGCGAGAUGAGAAGGGUAAUCCAGGACAGGCAAUAAGCAGGAAACGAGACGUGACUAGACUUAGGCUGCGUUUGCACUUGGCAUUAACAUGCAAUCACCAUGAUCUGAUCAAGCAGAUCGGAUCAUCAGAAUGGCCCGGUGCAAAGUCAACCUGAAGUGGUGGGUUUUCUUUUGAAAAGCAUUUUCAGUCGCAGGACAUUUUACAAAUCAAAGAUAAGUGUAGGAGUCUCACUAGUCUCCACACGGGUGUUCUCUGUCUUUUUUUUUUGACAGUUUGCUAGAGAGGGGGUGGCAUUUUGCAUGAUGUCGACCUGCAAAUGCAGACAUGAUGGCCGGAUUGCAUUUACACUACACUGAGAUCCGAUCACAAUGCGUCCCCAACUACCUCUGAACCAGGACACGCUGAUCAGAUAACAUUCUGAUUCAAAAGUAUGUUUACACUUGUCUUUUCAAUGGCUGCAUUGACACUUGGCAUUAACAUGUGAUCACCAUGAUCCGAUCAAGCAGAUCGGCUCAUCAGUCAGUCAGAACACGGCGCGUUUACACUUGGCAACAUCAACUGACUUUUCUAUUUGGAUAACCGGUUGGAUCUGUCUUUCCCGUGCAAUAUUUAAAUAAGUCUGCAGAGAAUGGCCCGGUGCAAUGUCAAUCUGAAGUGGUGGGUUUUCUUUUGAAAAUCAUUUUCAGUCACGGGACAUUUUACAAAUCAAAGAUAAGUGUAGGAGUCUCAUUAGCGCUCCACACGGGUGUUCUCCAUCUUUUUUUCUGAAAGAUCGCGAGAGAGGGGCGGCGUUUUGCGUGACGUCCAACUGCGAAUGCAGCAACGAUGGCUGGAUUGCAUUUACAUUACACUGAGAUCCAAUCACAAUGCGUCUUUGACUACCUCUGGACCAGGACACGCUGAUCAGAUAACAUUCGGAGCAGAAGUGCGUUUACACUUGUCUUUUCAGUGUGUAUGUGGACAACAUCCGGAUACAGGUCGCAUGUUAAUGCCAAGUGUAAACGCAGCCUUAGACAAGAACUAGAAACUCAAACUAGGACGGGAACUGGCUCCGUAAAGAUGCUAUCACAGACAGAGCGAUAAGUGCAAACAAUACUCAGCGUUGAAUGGUGGUGUGACACUGAUUUAUAUAGUGUGUGCUAUUGGUAGCAGCUGUGUGUGUAAUCAGUGCAAUGGAUGAUGGGAAAUGUAGUCCGGGAUGA